Dermacentor andersoni is the source of this 1019-nucleotide long non-coding RNA. RefSeq lists it as uncharacterized. NCBI's taxonomy places the organism in Eukaryota, Metazoa, Arthropoda, Arachnida, Ixodida, Ixodidae. The record is from RefSeq and is a predicted model, not a curated record.
UGGUGGAAGCUAUAGGGCUAUAGAGGAUGAGGAAUAUGUUGCACUUCCGCACACGUGCACGCGCGCGUAGCGUGUGCACGAAGUGUACGUGUUCUUGAUGCGUGCUAGCGUUCUGCGACCAUAAAUAAAAGGCAUUAUGACGAACACAUUGCGAAAAGGCCCUGGCAUAUGCGUACGUAAAACUUUCACAGCAUGCCCCCAUAAUGUCCCUCGCGGACUUGGGCAUGAAGGAAUGUCCACAGGACACGGAAAAUGUGGCCAAACAGUCAUGUCAGCGACGUCCGCAGAAAAUAUUCGACAUAUCCCUAGAAUAUCCAUGUUUUGGCAGUGGGAAUCCUAUCGGUGGAUAUCUUGUGAAUAUGCAGGACCUGCCCAGAUUCCUCCAGGUGAUGCUAUCUAGUUAAAGCGUGCCACCAUGACGUCCUUCAUGGCCGAGUGUGCAAGUCUGGCAUGUAGAGGUUUAGAGAUUUCCCAAAUAAUUCGCUCAACAUCUCAUUCACGGCUCUCUUGAUAGAGCGACCCUACCCACAGCAAGCAACGGGCUUUCCGAAAUAGAAACCACUAAAAAGCAAGCAUUCAGAAUGUACAGCCAGAAGUAGCCGGUACAAGCCGAGCUACGAGGCUCCGGCUCCGGGCUGUUCACGUGACCAAUCCCUACUUGUCAACUCUCUUUGCCGAGCGUGGUCGCAUCGUUUCGUGCGGUACGUGCCAGCAAUGAGGGCCAAGUGGCGUAAGAAGCGGAUGCGAAGGUUGAAGCGCAAGCGCAGGAAGAUGCGUGAGAGGUCCAAGUAGGCCGGACCCACGGGUGGCGAAUGACAAGCCCAGCUGUUGGCAGAGGGAGUGUGUCCCAAGACGCCGCCUUCACCUUCCUGGCUUGGCUGCACCACUAUCGCCUGGCUCCUGCAUCGGAUGGUGCCCUUGCUCUUACAUGACGGACCCAAGCUCUCGAAGUGCGCAAGGCACGCCUCUGGACAUUGGAUCAUCACUUUCGCCUCCAUUAAACACUCAUCCCACAAUGA